UAUGGAGGAUGCGAGCGUUAUCCGGAUUUAUUGGGUUUAAAGGGUGCGUAGGCGGCUUUUUAAGUCAGCGGUGAAAUUUUGCAGCUUAACUGUAACAGUGCCGUUGAUACUGGGGAGCUAGGAUUUGGUUGCUGUGGGUGGAAUGUGUGGUGUAGCGGUGAAAUGCUUAGAGAUCACACAGAAUAUCGAUUGCGAAGGCAGCUCACAAAGCCAAGAUUGACGCUGAGGCACGAAAGUGUGGGGAUCAAACAGGA
This 254-nucleotide ribosomal RNA is filed under the name uncultured prokaryote. RNAcentral describes it as "partial 16S ribosomal RNA". It matches the Rfam family "Bacterial small subunit ribosomal RNA", at positions 524 to 777 of the family's 1533-position model. The record is from RNAcentral.